Molecule: long non-coding RNA, 15074 nt
Organism: Symphalangus syndactylus (siamang)
Lineage: Eukaryota; Metazoa; Chordata; Mammalia; Primates; Hylobatidae
Source: RefSeq, a predicted model, not a curated record
AAAAAAAAACAAGAGCAACAGCAACAGACAGCCUGCAGUCCCAGAACACCCACACUCUCUCACUCUCUGUGACGACUCAGAAUUUCUUCCAGACUUAAUGGAUCGCCAUUCUGGAUAAAAAAAUCAACUAAACAUGGACGCCUUCCCCUCCCUGCUUCGGCUGCCUUGUGGACACACAGGUUCACACCAAGGUCAUUACCAAGGGUUUGCUUCUCCCCCCCACCCCCCCCCGCAAGCACUCCCCCCCAGCCACACCCCUGAGGGUUGGGACAUCCUGGAAUUGCUUUGUCGAUUGGCACUGAUGGGGAGGGCUUUGAAGGAGCCGUGUGAACAUCCUUCAGGUCGAGGCCUGGGCGAAGCUGGCCCUGAGACUGGAAGACAUUCCUGGAGAAAAUGCAGGGGCUCCUGGCCACUACACGAAGUCCACAUGCAGAGGGCCGUGAAGUGGGCGGUGGGUGUGGGAGUGGGAAGGUGGAGGCGUCACACCCCUGCCCCAGGUCACGUGACAGAGGCGGAAGGGGUGAGUACAAGUCACAGUACCCAGUGGAGCCCUGCAGAGCUGCCGGCGAGUGCUGCUGGGGCUGCAGAGCGUGUGAAGCCAGGCACCCCAGGACGUUUUGGGCAUGAGCAGGGAUCAGGCCCCCAUGGGGAAGGGGAGAGUGCUGGGGAGGUCUGACCCUGGUGGGGGCAGACUGGGGGAAGGUGACUGUGCAGUGCUGAACACUGUCCACAAAAUGUCAUUCCACCUGAACCUGUGAGCAUGACCAUGUGUGGAACAGCGUGUCCGGGUGCAGCGGCUCACACCUGUAACCCCAGCACUUUGGGAAAUCAAGCUGGGAGGAGAGCUUGAGCCCAGCAGUUCGAGACCAGCCCAGGCAGCAUAGAUAGACCCUGGCUCUACAAAAAAUAGAAACAAAUUAGCUGGGUGUCAUGCUGCACACUCAUCCCAGCUACUCGGGAGGCUGAGAUAGGAGGAUCGCUUGAGCCCAGGAGGUCGAGGCUGGAGUGAGCCAUGAUUGUGCCACGGCCCUCCAGCCUGGGCGACAGAGUGAGACCCUGUCUCAAAAAAACAAAUCGAAAGACAAAAUAAGGUCCUAGAUCCAAUGACUGCUGAGAAGAGCAGGGCUGGCCACAAGAGACAAGGCCUCGGGAGGGCAGGGGCAGUGAUAGGAGAGAUGCAGCCCCAGCCCCAGAACACCUAGACCUACCAGCACCGCCCGCGGCUGGAAGAGACAGGAAAGAGCCUCCUUCAGUGCCUUCGGAGGAGCGUGACCCUGCAGCACCUGGGUCUGGACUUGGAGUCUCUAGAACUGAGAACGAGCUUCUGAUACCCCCAGUUUGCAGUACUGGGGCAUGCCAGGACCUCCCACAGCCGGUGGCCGUUCACAGUGCAGGCCUGAUCGGGGGCUGCAGACACACUCAGCCUGACCCCACGGUCCACCUGGUUUUCGUCACCUGGAGGUCGGCCCUUCCUAUCUGUAGGGUCCAGCCCCACAGGGUCAGUGGGUUUUUCUCCCCGUGUGCGGAGACAAGAAAUUGUAGAAGUAAAGACACAAGACAAAGAGAUAAAACAAAAGACAGCUGGGCCCGGGGGACCAUUACCACAAAGACGCGGAGACCUGUAGUGGCCCCAAAUGCCAGGCUGUGCUGAUAUUUCUUGGAUACAAGACAAAGGGGCAGGAUAAGGAGAGUGAGCCAUCUCCAAUCAUAGGGUCUGCUCUGUCACCCAGGCUGGAGUGCAGUGGCGCAAUCGGGUCACAGCAGCCUUGACCUCCUGGGCUCAAGCCAUCCUCCCACCUCAGCCUCCCGAGGAACAGUCACCAUGAGUGCGUGCACCACACCUGUUACAUCUCAAUCCUGGAGUUAGUUUUUCUUUCUUUCUUUCUUUCUUUCUUUCUUUCUUUCUUUCUUUCUUUCUUUCUUUCUUUCUUUCCUCUCUUUCUUUCUUUUCUUUCUUCCUUCCUUCCUUCCUUCCUUUCUCUCUCUCUCUCUCUCUUUCUUUUUUUUUUUUUUUGAGACGGAGCCUUGCUCUGUUACCCAGGCUGGAGUGCAGUGGCAUGAUUUCAGCUCACUGCAACCUCGACCUCCCAGGUUCAAGUGAUUCUCCUGCCUCAGCCUCCCGAGUAGCUGGGAGUACAGGUACCUGCCACCAUGCCUCGCUAAUUUUUGUAUUUUCAGUAGAGACAGGGUUUCACCAUGUUGGCCAGGCUGGUCUCGAACUCCUGACCUCAAGUGAUCUGUCCGCCUCGGCCUCCCAAAGUACUGGGAUGACAGGCCUGAGCCACUGCACCUGGCCACAAUCUGAAAUUCACCCUGGUACCACAACACAGAGCAGCAGCCAGCAAUGAAAGGGAAUGAACGAGUGACCACACAGUGUGGGUGAAUCUCACAACAGCUGUUCAGCUCUGUGAGUGAAGGAAGCCGGACCCCCGACGCAGCGUGCAUGCAGAGUGAUCUCAUUCACAGGAGACUCCAGAAAAUGGAAAUUGACGUAGUAACAGGAAGACGACCAGUGGCUCCUUGGGCUGGGGCUGGGGCAGGAAGACCCAGAGGAGCUUUGCAGAACGUGCUGGGUCGUGGACACGUUUCUGUAUUUUUUUUGAGACGGAGUCUCGCUCUUGUCACCCAGGCUGGAGGGCAAUGGUGCGAUCUCGGCUCACUGCAACCUCUGCCUCUCGGGUUCAAAUGAUUCUCCUGCCUCAGCCUCCCGAGUUGCUGGGACUACGGGCAUGCAUCACCACGCCCGGCUAACUUUUUUGUAUUUUAGUAGAGACGGAGUUUCACCAUGUUUGUCAGGCUGGUCUCAAAUUUCUGACCUCGUGAUCCACCCGCCUUGGCCUCCCAAAGUGCUGGGAUUACAGGCAUGAGCCACUACACCCAGCCUAUAUAUAUAUAUAUAUAUUUUUUUUUUUUUUUUUUUUUUUUUUUUUUUUGAGACAGAGUCUUGCUCUGUUGCCCAGUGGAGUGCAGUGGAGCAAUCUCGGUUCACUGCAGCCUCUACUGCCUGGGUUCAAGCGAUUCUCCUGCCUUAGCCUCUCAAGUAGCUGGGAUUACAGGCGCCCACCACCACAUCUGGCUAAUUUUUGUAUUUUUUUUAGUAGAGACAGGGUUUCAGCAUCUUGGCCAGGCUGGUCUUGAAAUCCUGACCUCGUGAUACACCCAUCUCAGCCUCCCAAAGUGUUGGGAUUACAGGUGUGAGCCACCAUGCCCGGCUGUAUUUUUUGUUUUUUUUUUUUUUUGAGAUGGAAUUUCGCUCUCAUUGCCCAGGCUAGAGUGCAAUGGCAUGAUCUCAGCUCACCGCAACCUCCGCCUCCCAGGUUCAAGCUACUCUCCUGCCUCAGCCUCCCGAGUAGCUGGGAUUAUAGGCAUGCACCACCAUGCAUGGCUAACUUUGUAUUUUUAGUAGAGACAGUUUUUCUCUAUGUUGGUCAGGCUGGUCUCGAACCCCUGACCUCAAGUGAUUCACCUGGUUCAGCCUCCCAAAGUGCUGGGAUUACAGGCACCCAGCCUUUUAUAUAUAUGUUAUAAUAUAUACUAUAUAUAAAAUAUAUUAUAAUAAUAUAUAUAUUAUAUAUGUAUAUAAUUUUUUUUGAGACAGAGUCUCCUCUGUCACCAGGCUGGAGUGCAAUGGUGCGAUCUCGGCUCACUGCAACCUCCACCUCCUGGGUUCAAGCAAUUCUCCUGCCUCAGCCUCCUGAAAAGCUGGGAUUACAGGCGUGCGCUACCACGUCUGGCUAAUUUUUUGUAUUUUUAAUAGACACGGGGUUUCACCGUGUUGGCCAGGAUGGUCUCAAUCGCUUGACCUCGUGAUCCACCCGCUUCGGCCUCCUAAAGUGCUGGGAUUACAGGUGUGAGCCACCGUGCUUGGCCUAUAUAUAUGUUUUUUGAGACAGAGUCUCACUCUGUUGCCCAGGCUGGAGUGCAGUGAGGCGAUCCUGACUCACUCAACCUCCCAGGCUCAAGCAAUCCUCCCCCCUCAGCUUCCUGAGUAGCUGGGACUACAGGUGCCCACCACCACGCUCAGCUAAUUUUUGGAAUUUUUGUAUUUUUUGCAGAGAUGAGGUCUCACCAUGUUGCCUGGGCUCCAGAUUACUUUUCUGCACACAGGAGAGCCUUAUUUCUCAUAAGAGAUUGCAGCCAGCAGGGCAGCCUUUCUGACAGGCUAGGAAGCGUAGCCUCGGGCCAGAAGCCUGGAACAGACACUUGGAGGGAGGGGCAGAGGGAAGAGGAAUUUAUGCUGAAGGAGAUGGCCAAAUAUAGGUGUCCAAUAAGCUUCAGAAGGAUCAUGAGUAUUCAUGAAAGGAGAAGCGUGUACACGUGCAGCUGAGCAAAUUCUCCAUGGGCUGCCCAGAACCACUCUCUGAUUUCUUCUCGGGCCAGAAGGAGGGGCUGACCCCUUACCCCGUCAUGGCUGAGGACUUGGGUUCAGGGUUUCUUUGGGAUCGCCUUGGCCAGAAGAAAGUCCAUUCAUUCAGUUGGGGGGUUCAUCUCAGACAACCUCCCGUCAUCACCCCUUGAGUGAGACCCAAGCCCUUCACUGCAGCCUUCGAGGUGCCAUGGUCCGGUGGACCCCCUCCUGCUCCUCUGUGGCUCUCCCUGCCGCCGUUCUCAUACUGGCAUCCCCAAUCUCCUUGAGAAGCCAUUUUCUCUACUCUGAUGUCUUUUCAGAAGUCAUGUCCUGUUCUGGGGAUGCACCCCUGCUCCUCCAGCCCCACCCGAACUGACUUAACACCCACCACCCUUCCCAGGUCAGCCCAAAUGCCACUUCCCCCAGGAAGCGCUCCCUGAUGCUGCCCUGGAUGGAAUGAGUCAGACCUGCUGUUGUUGGGCCCUGGCCGCGCCUAGAUACACUUCUAGGGUCUAUACUCGAGUAUCCAGGUGAUCACGCUGCUGAGGUUGGCUUCUCCUGAUCAAGCAUCAACUCUGGGACUGUGUUUGCCGAUUCUGCUCCCUAACGCAGCCGCAGGGGCCAGCACGCUGCCUGGCACGUCAUGGGGGCUUCUCCAUGUUGGGUGGAUAUGUGAACGGCUUCCUGAGAAAGUGCAGGAUGUCAAGGAACGCAGAGGGUGGCGGCAGCGUGGAGGGCAGAGGGAAGGCACACGGCGAGGACUGCGUUGGGCCAGCCUGUGGUCUAUUUCACAGCAGACAAGGAACAGCAACAGCCUGCAGUGUGCUCCAGAGGACACUGGGGAAGGGGCCUGGCUGACAUCUCGCUACCCGGUCAGCCUGUACCCUCCUUCCGCCAUCUUUCUGUGGUCAUAAAGGAUCCCUUGAGCCACUUGAUUUUCUGUCAUUGAUACAUUAUCAAUGACCUAGAGUCACCAAACACCUCUCAACAAGCCAUGGUCUCCACCUGACAUCUGGAACAACGCUCCCGGGGCCUGGGAGGACCACACGUUGAAAGGAAAGAGCAGAGGACACUGGCUCUCAUGGCAGGAUGGUGUGUGCACAGGACGCUGUGGGAGAGGAAAACAGCCAUGCGUGGGCUGGCUGCUCGGAGGAGACACAGGAACCAUGAACACGUCUGCCCCGGCCGCUCCCUGGUUCCAUGCGUGCUCGUCUUGGGCACCACGAGAACACAGCCAUGCAGCCCCCGAUCCUGCAGCCACAGCCGCGGCACCGCCUGGUCAGAUGCAGCAUCUGCUCCGGGUGCCUCUCGCUGUCGGUGCAAGGCCUGCCAGGCCGAGCCCCGAUUCUCAGGGGCGGCAGGAGGUGGGAGUCACGUUUGGGUGGAUCUUUAAAAUGGCACCUUUCAAAUGGGUCCUUUCAUCUCUCCUUCCCCCAACGAAUCAGCUCCCCAAUGGGACGGGCAGGUAGGGCCAGGAGGGCAAAAGGCUGAGGGCACAGUUUACCAUCUUUCGGGAGGAUGACGGCGGCCUUGGAGAGCCCCAGAAUGUCACAUGCGUCCAUGAAUUCCUUCAGACUCUGGAAGCUCGAAACAUUCUGUCUAUCUGAGGUGGAGAUCAGGAUCACAUGAGAGAGUCUAGCUCUGGCCGUUUUGGGGUCUGCACCCUGACCCCAUCCCUACCCCAGGAGCUGCUGAAAUGUCCUCAGAGUUUAGGCAUGAAGCAGGGCUUGGCCAGGGGAGGACAGCGGCCGCUGGGCCCCUCCCCACUUAGGAGGCAGCCAGGCUCGGGAAGCCGGGGUCUCCAUGCUGUCGCCUGGGGAACCCUCUCUGCCUGCAGAGUCCCCUCCAGCCAGCCCCUCAGCUGUGCCCCAGCUUGCUGCACCCUGAGCGUGCCCCACCUCAACUGAGACCCCAGGACCCACCUCUCCUCUACCCCUUCCAACUGGGAGGGCCACUUCUUUCCCUGUACCACAGGUGGUUGGUGCCUAGAAUUGGGUUUGCGGCCCUUAACCCACACUGGGUCACUUCCACACCCCUCCAUCCCGGGCAGACCCUUACCUGGGACCCCUCCGGCGCCUCCUCCUCCCCAUUGUGUCCCUCACCCAGAACGUUGCACCUGCACCCCCCACCAUCCUGGUGGCCUCCACUCCCCCUGGAUGGCCCACCUUGCUCUGCCGCCUCUUCCUGGCAUCCCCUAUCCUUGCUUCAGCGACCUCCAGGACCUGACUGCUGUGGUCUUGGCUUCCACUGCCCCUGCCCUGACCACAGCCCCAACCUCCACUCUCCCUGCCCGCCUCACCCCCUGGGUCCUGCCCGGCCCCGUGUGCCCAGCGCCCCUCUGUGCCUCCCUCUGCACCCCCUCCACCAUCCCCCGCCACCCGCUGUGCCCACUCACGGAAGAGCAGCAGGUUCUUGUAGUUUUGGGCUGCGCGCCCCAGGCGGAGGUAGACCAGGCCGUAGCUGUAGUCAGUGGACAGCACAUGGAAGGCCUUCACCCCUUUCACUGAAAGAGACUCCCAGGAUGCCCGCUGGUUCCCGGAUGGUGUGGCUGUGCCCGCCCGCAGCGCUGACCCCUGGUGUCCGAGGUUUCAGAGCCCCCACCCAGGUGCAGGUGUCCAGAGAGGCUGAGUGCCCUCCGGGGGCCUCCCCUCCCGGGCCAGGCCGCCCAGCACAUGACGUGUGGGCUCUGGGAACACAGCCAGCCUGACACCCGCCUGCUACGUGCUCUCGGGGACAAGGGGUCUGCUCAAGGCACAGGGGGGACAGAGGCAUCUCACGCAGUUCCUCUGGGGCCCAGAGCCCCAGCACACCUCCCUCCCGUCCUUCCCUCGGGCCCGCCGCAUACGCACAGGUGUUCCUGAACACCGGCUUCUUCCUGUCUUUCCUCAGGAUCACCUCCUGGGACUGGCACCCCUUCAACCUGGGGCCAAGGCGGGGGCUCAGGCUGCAGACCAGGGAACCCCUCCUCCCACCCGCCAGCCGCCGAGCCCCACCCACACGUCUCGGUCCCACCCCUGCUCCCGUGGGACCUGGGAAGGUUGAGGCCCCAGGUCCCCAGUUUUUUGCUUCACUAUCCAACUCGUGUCAAUUUGAGGCUCUGUGGUUUGAGGAUUUUCCAGUUCGGACUGGGGCCUGUCCCACGGCACGGGAGAAACUCCCAACUCCCACCCGUGGGGGCCCAGGGGCUGCAGGCGGCUCCCAUGUGGGGGCCCAGGGCCUGCAGGCGGCUUCCUCUGAGUUUAGGGGGGAGGAAGUCGGGGGGAUGGUCCUUGUGGAACUUCCAGACAGACGGGCUCCUCCCAGACUCCUUUCCAGCCCCCAGGCAGCUCCCUCCUCCUGGAAGGGGAGACCCUUUCCUGGGGGGCGCUGCCCACUCACCGGCUGAAGGCGAGGAGCACGCAGAGCUGGCACACUUUGUUCACCUUUACCACGGACGCCCCCAGCUUCCUCUUGUCUCUGGCCGGCAAGAAUCCCUGGGCGUCAGUAGCCGUGGCCAGAAUGUACCAGAACCCUGAAAACUGAGCAGCGGGUGUGUGGGUGGGGACAGGAGCUGCCACCUGGGGGCUGUCCCCACCCCCGAGGUUCCCAGCUAGAGAACCCAGGAGACAAGUGACCCUUCUGUGAGCCGGAGCCCAGCCCCACCCAGGUGCCACCUUGGUCCCGGCCACUCAAGCCCUGGCCACUGGAGCAGGGCCGCAGAGAAGCAGGUGCCCAGCUGGUCAGGGACACCAGGCAGCACAGGGCUGGGCUGUGGGCACCAGCAGGUGGGAGGCCCCCCUACCUCAGAGGCCCCGGCUCCUUUCCAUGUGGCCUCCUGGGGGCCGGGUACUGCUCGGCCACUUCCCUUCCCGCCGGCUCCCGGCUCCCAACUCUGCCUGCUGCCAACCCCAGUGCCCUGGGCACCACCGUGCCAAUGAGUGCUGCUCCCACGGCUCACUCAGCAGGUGCCCGGGCCCUCCCGCUACAGAAUAUGCCCCGCUUGCUCCACACCCACUCUGCACUCUGGGCGUCACCCGACCUCCUCGGCCACAGCUCUCUGGGUCCCUCCACCCUGACCCUCCCUGACCCCCCGACCCCCCUGAACCCCCUCGAGGCUCCCUGCCUUUGCCCUGCAACUUGCGGGGCCCCUUGCCGGAGGCUGCAGUGGGAGAGGCCAGGUGGGCUGUGCCCGUGCCUGGAACUCCUGGUAGCCCUGCUCCUGGGCGGCUGCCGGGAGACUGUGCAGGAACCUGCUUCAGCUCCAGGGCCGGCUCCCUGCUCAGGGACCAGCGGCACAUGGCUCACCUUGUUCCAGUUGAGGGUGUGGGACUCCCUGGGGUACCACUCCUGUACCUGGGACCCUGCAGCCAGCCCCAGCCCCAGCCCCAGCACCAACACCAGCAGCCCCUGCCUCAUCUUCACCCUCCUCCCUCAGCCGCCAAGGCCAGUGUUUAAACCUCCCUGGAGCUGCCAGCCUGUGUUGGGAGACGAUGGAGGGGAGGGAGGGGAGGGAGGCAGCAGGUGUGGCCUUGGGCUCUGCUACUCUCUCCCCGCCCAGGGACCACCCUCAGACACUCCGGCACAGCCAGCACUGCCCCGCCCUGUGGUCACCACUGGCCUGGGCUGCCCCGGCAGACAGAGGCCUCUCUGAGGCCCCAGGACCCUCCUGCCCUCUGUGCCCGGCCUGGGGUCACUGUGUGUGCCCCUGAGACUCAUUAAGCCCUGGUCCUCAUCCCAGACCUCCCAGGUCACAGGCAAAGGGCUGGUUGUGGCCCUUCUGGGGCAGAUGUGGACGUGGGAGCCCCGCGCGGCAGCCACCCACACAGCCCCCGCCACCUUCUUGAGGGCCUGGCACCCAGCACCUGAGCAGGUACCGAAGGGCGGGCCGGGGCUGUGUGCCCGUGCCCAUGAGUGUGUGUGUGUGCAUGUGUGAGUGCGUGCUCACAUGUGCAUGCAUGUGCAUGCCCAGUCUGGCAGGUCAAGGCAUCUGUGUGCACCUCGCCUCACUCCAGCCAUGAGCCUCUCACAGUCCCCAGCCCUGCAUCCAGCCCCGAGGCCCCCAUGGCCUGUGUUUCUCCCAGGAUGGCAGGCAGCCCCCCACGCCCAUCAGAACACAGGAGGACCUGCAGGCUCGGGCGUCUGGGGUCCCCGUGCCUGCCCAGGCAAGAGCCACAACCCCAGCCCAGAGAAGCCUGAGCCUGGGGGAUCGGGGGCCUCUCUGAGCCCCACCAACCACGUCUCUCUUGUCCUGGGCAAUCCUUGGAGCCUGUGGCACCCCAGCCAUGGUCCUGGUGGACAUCACUGCUGGCUCCCUCCCAGGCUGUGUCCCCUGACCAGCCCCCACCUCCGAGCCGGGGCCCGAGUUUGGGUGUCCGAAGACCCAGAGGGGCUCUGGCAAGGGACUGGGUUGGGCAUGCGUCUUCUUUGCAGCUGGCUCUAUGGUUCUGUGGCUUGGCCCUUGGUGAUGACCCCCGCCAUCCUCCCCGCAAUUCCCCGGCUGUCCCCCAGUCAAGAGCAUCCUUGGUUUGCUGUGGAAUCGCUUUAUUCUGAGCUGGUGCUGGGCCCCGGGAGCCGCUGAGCAAGGUGGGUAGACACUGGCCGAGGUCACAGGACCCUGCGGGCGCCAUCCCUACUGGGGAUGCAGCACUCACUGAAAACCAAGAGGAGUGUGAGGGGCCCAGCACGCCACGGAGGCGCCCUCCACACCCUCAGCCGCCUUAGAGGCAGUGGAGCCACGAACCCCGUGGGCUUGGGCAGAGGGUCCUCCCGUCUACUGUGCGUAGCGUGGCCUCCCCAACCCCCUACCCCCAAGGGAGCCGGGGUGAGGCUCAGGACGGCGGCUUACCGGAAGGAUCUUGUGAGCACAGGUGACUAGAAGGGAAGGCAAGACUGGCUGUGAAAAAGGACUGCGCCCCCCAGCACCCCAGGGCCCCGCCCACAAGACUCCCCGGCCAUGGGGACCAGCCCCCCAGGCCUGACUUUGGGCAGGGGCAGGUGAAGACCUCCUCAGCCUGCCUGACUCCCUGAGGGCGACUGAGUCAGGCAGAAGCCAGAAUCAGCCCCAGGGUCUGUGUCACCCCAUCACGCCCUGUGGGCUCCAGAACUUGCCCCAAGCCUCCCCUGUGGCUGCUCCGGUGGACACUCACGGUCCUUCUGCAGCUGGGCCUGCUGCUGUGACAGGAAGCCCAGGCUCCUGCUCCACUUGGUGAAGAGCCCCAUGGCCUCCUGGCUGGCUGUCUCCGUCCGACCUGGGGGCACCAGGGCAGUGCAGGGGGAAGCAACCUCUGAGAGCUGGGGAGAGGCGGGGAGGGGCCAGGGAGGGGCUGGGAAGGGUCAGGGAGGAGGCCACCUGCCCUGGGAAGGACCCCGGUCCUUCCAAGGCCACCUCCAGUGCAGCCAUUGGUCCCGCACGGCACACUCACCGUACAGCUCCCCACGUGGGCCCCGCACGGCACACUCACCGUACAGCUCCCCACGUGGGCCCCGCACGGCACACUCACCGUACAGCUCCCCACAUGGGCCCCGCACGGCACACUCACCACACAGCUCCCCACGUGGGCCCCGCACGGCACACUCACCACACAGCUCCACGGUGUUGAAGGGUUCAUCCCCGAACUCCAGCUGAGUGAAGAUGAUGACAUAGUCUCUGAAGUUGGUGACCAGCACCCGGAGCUCCAGCACGCCUAUCGCUAGGAAACAAAACUCCCCGCCAUGGGGGAGAGCAGCUGCUGUAUCCGUCCAGGGGCCGCUGAGCUGGUGCUGGCCACAGGGACGGAGGAGCCAAUUCAAGUGAGAGCGCCCAACCCCAGGAGACCCCUCCAAGCACACCCAGAGCCCCCAAGCUUUGUCCCCCACCCCAGACCCCACCUGGUACCAGCAUCAAGGGGCUUUCAGACACUGACGGACAGACAGACAAGCACUGCCCCAGCCUGUCCCGGGUGUGAAUGAGAAGCGGCUGGGUCACACCGGCCCAGCCCUGUCCCUGUGGACAGCCACUGAACAGGCGCCUCGCCUUCUGCACCUAUGGGGACCUUGGCUGGGCCCCACUGGCGUCUGAGCCUGAUGGGAGUAAGCUUCCAGUCCUCUGUCCGGGGGCCUCUCUUCACCCUCAGGAUGGGCACCAAUCCCAAGACCAGACCCUGUAGCCUCCUGGCACUCGGGAGUGGAGUCAGCCCUCCGUCCCUGCCCGCAGGGGGCCUGGGGAUGCUGCAGGGAAGAACCGCCUGGGUGAGGCCGUGGCCAUCAGACUCACAGGGAUUCUCAAACACCCAUCCCGAGUUUCGCUUUAUUAGCUCCACGACACUCUAGCUGCACCCUUCCAGCCUGGAAAAGAAGGGGCCCGUCACCCACUCAGGGUCAAGACCCCGGGGCCCGGUGAGAGGAGACGGAGCCCAGGAGUCCAGGCCAGGCCAGCCGGCAGUGAGGCCAGAGCUUCCAUCUUCUGCCAGAUGCCCUGAUGCCCGGAAACCUGCUCUCGGGGAGUGGACGGCACGGGAGUCCUGAGAGGGGCGGACACUCCCGUUCACCUCCUGAGAGAUCCUCAGUGCCAGAUCUCCACCAGGAAUCCUGAAUGCUGCUGAGGAAGCAACAAGAGACUCGACAGACGGGAGAAUUCCCGACAAAGGCUUGCUGAGACGACAGGCUUCCCCAGCUUUGACCACAGCCUGAAGCCCAGAUGACCCAGGACAGGGAUGCAUGAAGGAGCGUGGUCAGAGCAGUGCCUGCCCGCGGUAUUGAAGGUGGGAGUGCCACCUGGAGGCCCCAGGGACACAGAUGUGAGUAGCUGGGCAGAGGGCUGGUGGCUCUGCACAGAGCCCAGAGGGAAAAGUGAGGGGGGGUGCAGAGGGGCCGUGGGAAGCCCCCAGGCCGCGGUGCCCGGGAGCAGAUGUGCAAAGUACAUGAUGUGGCUGAGCCACAGUCCUGCCUAUGGGAAGGCCUGGCAGGACCCGCCCCACUCACCCGUGCUGGGAGGACAGAAUUCGCAGGCUGUUUUCUGGAGUGAGGGUCACCACCACCCCCGCGACGUUCUUCAUGUCCUUCUCCACUGCAAAGCCCUUUUCCCGGGAGGCCACCGCAAGCACGUACCAGGGCCCAAGAAGCUGCAUUGAGGCCGCUCCUGUGAGGGCCAGCAGCCCUCCAGCCUCCAGCCUCCAACCUCCAGCCUUCCAGCCCUGCAGGCUCCAGCCUCCAACCCUCCAGCCUCAGCCUCCAGCCUCCAACCCUCCAGCCUUAGCCUCUAGCCUCCAACCCUCCAGCCUCCAGCCUUCCAGCCCUGCAGGCUCCAGCCUCCACCCUCCAACCAUCCAGCCUUCCAGCCUCCAACCCUCCCACCCUCUAGCCUCCCCACCCUUGCAGCCUCUAGCCUCCAGCCCUCCAGCCUUCCACCCCUCUAGCCUCCAACCUCUAGCCCUCCAGCCUCCAGCUCUCCAGCCCUCCAGCCUCCAGCUCUGCAGCCUCCAGCCUCCAGUUCUCCAGCCCUCUAGCCUCCAGCCUUCCAGCCUCCAGCCUUCCAACCUCCAGCCUCCAGCCCUCCAGCCUCCAGUCUCCAGAUCUCCAGCCCCACAGCCUCCAGCCCUCCAGCCUCCAGGCCUCCAGCCUCCAGCCCUGCAACCUCCAGUCUCCAGCCUCCAAUUCUCCAGCCCUCCAGCCUCCAACCCUCCAGCAUCCACCCCUCCUGCCCUGAGGCUCCUGCCUUUGGGACUCCCCAUGGGCUGGCCCAACUCAUUCCCCACUGCCCAUGCUGGUCUGGGCUGGCCCUGGGGACCCAGAAGCUGUGUGGCCUUAAAGGAGGGGCUGGCCCCCGAGGACCAGCUUUCCCCACCCGCAGGAGGACGAUACCUGCUUAGGGUCCAGUCUUCCCAACCACAGGGCAUGGACCCUGGGCACCGAGACCAAAGCCAGAAGAGCAGCCAGCAGCAGGCCGCCCAUCCUCCCAGAAGUUUCCAGAAUGGGCAUCCUAAAGCCAGCAGCACCACCUCCCCCUUUCCUGGGGACCCACGCUCUCCCUUGCCCAGUCUGGGAAGCAGGGACUCUGCUGUCCGCUGCCAGGCCCUGCAGGAGGCCAAGGUCAAGCCCAAGGAGAGGAACCAGGGCGAGAACAAGUGGUUCUUAGGAGCUGUGGUUUUCGAUAUCUUUUGUUUCAAUCAUUAAAUAUAAAAAGUCCCUGAAAGCCUUUUGAAAAAGGCUCCCACCCCCUCCUGCUCACCCACCGUUCUGCUUUGUGGCCUGGCCUCUGUCUCCCACAGCCAGCACCCCCAGACCAGACUGUCCUCUUCCUUCCACCCCUGCAGCCCACCAUCCGGCCCUGCUGCCUCCUGCCUCCCCUCCCUGGGACCCUGGCCUGCUUGUGCCUCCCAAGGCCCCUUGAGAGCUCUCUGCAGCCCCCGUCCGGGAGCAGAGGACAGAGGUGCUCGGCAAGGUCUAUCUGAGCCCCUGAAGCCCACUGGGAGGCAGCCGAGAGGGUCCUCCCCCAGUGCCGUGGCCUGCACCCUCUGGGAUUCACUCCCACACACCUUCGCUCAUUCAUCAACAAGGGUGCCAGGAGCAUGUCCGUGCAACAAGGCUCCAGUGCCCAGGGCCGCCUGCACUCACAGAGCUGACACUGCAGCCCUGGCCGCCUGCCUUGUACCCACGCAGCAGGGCCUGUGACCACCAGAGUGCAGGAGGGAGGCAGAAACCACACAGCUACUGGGGGCCAGGCCUGCGAAGACUGACCGGGCAGUGGGGCCACGGAGGUGCCAGCCAAAGCCAUGGCAAGCAGGAGUUGCCCAGGGGCUGAGCCACAGAACAAGGGGGCGGGACACUUAGGCCUGGAGCCUUCAGGAGGGAGCUGUGGCUGGGCACGGUGGCUCACACCUGUAGUCCCAGCACUUUGGGAGGCUGAGGCGGGAGGAUCGCUUGAGUCCAGGAGUUUGAGACCAGCCUGGGCGACAUAGCGAGACUUCGUCUGUACAAGCAAAUUUUAGCUGGACAUGGUGGCGUGCUCCUGUAGUCCCAGCUACUCAGAAAGCUGAGGUGGGAGGAUUGCUUGAGCCCAGGAGGUUGAGGCUGCAGUGAGCUGUGAUCGUGCCACUCCACUCCAGCCUGGGUGACAGAGCAAGACCCCAUCUCUAAAAUAAAAUAAAAAUACAAAAAAGUAGGAAGCCAAGCAGCUGGGCCAGGCCUCUGAGAAGGAAACACCCGCCAGUCCCACUAGUGUCCCUAAGGGCUGCAGGAGGCUGGUUCCCGAGGUAGCCACAAAACAGCACACACCAUCAGCCAAGCGAAGCGCUAUGGCUCAGGCCUGUCAUCCCAGCACUUUGGGAGGCCAAGGCGGGUGGAUCACCUGAGGUCAGGAGUUCGAGACCAGACUGGCCAACAUAGUGAAACUCCGUCUCUACUAAAAGUACAAAAAUUAGCUGGGUGUGGUGACACACGCCUGUAAUCCCAGCUACUCGGGAGGCUGAGGCAGGAGAAUCGCUUGAACCCAGGAGGCGGAGGUUGCAGUGAGCCGAGAUUGCGCCACUGCACUCCAGCCUGGUUGACAGAGUGAGUAAGACUCCGUCUCAAAAAACAAACAAACCAACAAAAAAAAACAAAGGAUAAACCUCAGAGUCUAGUUCCCUGCCGGGGUGUGGAGCUGGAACAGAGUGGGGGGAUGAAGUUAGACUUUUUCUGAGUAAACGUUUUUGUACAGUUUUGACUUUGGAAUCAAGGUAAUUUGGUAUAUUAUACUCAAAAGUAAAAUAAACAAAUUCCUAACAUGGGA